UUGACAUCUAUAGGGUUUGGGUAU
RNAcentral lists this small nuclear RNA (24 nucleotides) under Arabidopsis thaliana (thale cress). Its description in RNAcentral is "snRNA_02147". The record is from RNAcentral. Lineage: Eukaryota; Viridiplantae; Streptophyta; Magnoliopsida; Brassicales; Brassicaceae.